Molecule: ribosomal RNA, 370 nt
Filed under: Cronobacter sp. FER25
Lineage: Bacteria; Pseudomonadati; Pseudomonadota; Gammaproteobacteria; Enterobacterales; Enterobacteriaceae
Description: bacterial SSU rRNA
Rfam family: Bacterial small subunit ribosomal RNA
Source: RNAcentral
CUUACCUGGUCUUGACAUCCAGAGAAUCCUGCAGAGAUGCGGGAGUGCCUUCGGGAACUCUGAGACAGGUGCUGCAUGGCUGUCGUCAGCUCGUGUUGUGAAAUGUUGGGUUAAGUCCCGCAACGAGCGCAACCCUUAUCCUUUGUUGCCAGCGGUUAGGCCGGGAACUCAAAGGAGACUGCCAGUGAUAAACUGGAGGAAGGUGGGGAUGACGUCAAGUCAUCAUGGCCCUUACGACCAGGGCUACACACGUGCUACAAUGGCAUAUACAAAGAGAAGCGACCUCGCGAGAGCAAGCGGACCUCAUAAAGGUUCUAGUCCGGAUUGGAGUCUGCAACUCGACUCCAUGAAGUCGGAAUCGCUAGUAAUC